AACGGCCAUACCAUGCUGAAUAUACCGGUUCUCGUUAGAUCACCGAAGUCAAGCAUCAUUGGGCGCGGUCAGUACUUGGGUGGGUGACCACCUGGGAACACCGUGUGCCGUU
Molecule: ribosomal RNA, 112 nt
Filed under: Caerostris darwini
Lineage: Eukaryota; Metazoa; Arthropoda; Arachnida; Araneae; Araneidae
Source: RNAcentral